UUAAAGAUACUUUUACUUUCACAUUCUGCAGCCGAACCACCCCGCUGGUUAUCCGGACGUGUUCAGUUUCUAGUAUAGCUUUCGUUAAAGUGAAAUAACAGUUUACGUUGAACAACUAAAUCUCCAUCUCCAUUUGAGAUGAAGUUACAUAGACUGUAAGUUAAUCAGAAAGCUUCGUUCAAGGUAUGGUAAAUGUAAACGCAGACUAAAUGCUAUAGGCAACACGAGAAAUACGAUGUUAUUAGGCCUACUGCUUUCACUUUUGACAUAAUCUGAUGUAAAUUUUUUUGGUCUAAGGUGCUCAACAUAAAACAUUAACUCUCUCACCUUGUCUCGCUGCAACAGCUGCGUGAGUAUAUUUCACUCCAGAAAAGAACAAUGGGUAACGUUAAAGGUAAAGUUAAAUAUUGCGUCAGUGCACCUAACAGUGUCAAUAAAGUUGCUGAAAAAUUCAGGAAACAACUCAAAGAGAAGAAAACAAAAUAUGAAAACCUUCAAAAGCUGAAAAAUUGGACAAAUCGUGAUGUGAAGGAGUGUACAUUUGUUUUAGUAUUCUGUCCAAUUGUGUCUCGCGCUGGAACUGACAUUGAUGCAAAACUUAAUGAAAUAGAAAGAGAUUUUAAGGAAAAGUUAGUCAUUUUAAUAGUGCUUCAUCACACAUUUGACCCUGAGCGCAUUGUAUCAGACAGCAGUAAAUUUGUCGAUAGGGAUAGGGACAAUACCUGUACCCUGGACGUUCUGUUCCAUGAGGAUAAAGGAUUACU
Molecule: non-coding RNA, 764 nt
Organism: Paramisgurnus dabryanus
Lineage: Eukaryota; Metazoa; Chordata; Actinopteri; Cypriniformes; Cobitidae
Source: RefSeq, a predicted model, not a curated record